This 78-nucleotide transfer RNA is filed under the name Planctomycetota bacterium. Its description in RNAcentral is "Planctomycetes bacterium (bioreactor metagenome) tRNA-Met". It matches the Rfam family "tRNA". Rfam says of the family: Transfer RNA (tRNA) molecules are approximately 80 nucleotides in length. Their secondary structure includes four short double-helical elements and three loops (D, anti-codon, and T loops). Lineage: Bacteria; Pseudomonadati; Planctomycetota. The record is from RNAcentral.
GGCGGCGUAGCUCAGCCCGGUUAGAGCAACGGCUUCAUAAGCCGUGUGUCAUCGGUUCAAAUCCGAUCGCCGCUACCA